UGAACGCUGGCGGCGUGCUUAACACAUGCAAGUCGAGCGAGAAGCUCAUAAGUGAUUCUCGGAUGAACGAGUGAGUGGAAAGCGGCGGACGGGUGAGUAACGCGUAGGCAACCCUGCCCCGUACAAAGGGAUAAGCUACUGGAAACGGUAAUUAAUACCUCAUAACGCAGAGGCACCGCAUGGUGCUUUUGCCAAAGAUUUAUCGGUAUGGGAUGGGCCUGCGUCUGAUUAGCUUGUUGGUGAGGUAACGGCUCACCAAGGCGACGAUCAGUAGCCGACCUGAGAGGUAAACGGCCACAUUGGAACUGAGACACGGUCCAAACUCCUACGGGAGGCAGCAGUGGGGAAUAUUGCACAAUGGGGGAAACCCUGAUGCAGCAACGCCGCGUGAGCGAAGAAGGCCUUUGGGUCGUAAAGCUCUGUCCUGAAGGAAGAAGGAAGUGACGGUACUUCAGGAGGAAGCCCCGGCUAACUACGUGCCAGCAGCCGC
RNAcentral lists this ribosomal RNA (490 nucleotides) under uncultured bacterium. RNAcentral describes it as "bacterial SSU rRNA". It matches the Rfam family "Bacterial small subunit ribosomal RNA", at positions 30 to 518 of the family's 1533-position model. The record is from RNAcentral.